RNAcentral lists this long non-coding RNA (230 nucleotides) under Mytilus galloprovincialis (Mediterranean mussel). Lineage: Eukaryota; Metazoa; Mollusca; Bivalvia; Mytilida; Mytilidae. The record is from RNAcentral.
CGCCGAACAAUGAGACACUGCAACCCAAUCAAAAUGUUGGCCCCGUAUAUAACAUAAGAGAUGACUCACAAAAUACUGGCCUCAAUUUCACGUCUUUACGUUCAAAUUCAAGCGUCAAUAGCAGCAACUUUCAUAAACUGCCGAAAUUGAAUUUACCUACAUUUGAUGGAAACGUACUUGAAUGGCAAUCCUUUUGGGAUUCUUUUGAUUCCGCAAUUCACAACAACAAC